This is a long non-coding RNA of Sapajus apella (tufted capuchin), 1838 nucleotides long. RefSeq lists it as uncharacterized. The record is from RefSeq and is a predicted model, not a curated record. The transcript has 3 exons. Lineage: Eukaryota; Metazoa; Chordata; Mammalia; Primates; Cebidae.
ACUAUCUCUUAAUACAGCUAUCAAUAUUAUUUUAUUAUUUAAGGUAACAGUUAUGAAGUACUUAUUUUGUACCAGAAAUUGUGCUAACUGCUUUGCAUAUAUCGUCUUGUUUAAACUUCAACACAAACCAACAAGAUAGUUACUGUUAUCCACACCCAGUUUACAGCUGAGAAACUGAGGCUUAGAAAGGAUGAGCAACUCCUUUCAAUACCGCUUAGCCAAUGAGUGGUGAAACAAGAUUUUGGACCCAAAGUCCAUGCUUUUAAUCACCGUAUUUUGUCAUUGUAUUCUAUAUUUAAUGUACUAUUAGUUAAUGUCCUAUCACAGUUUAGACUGCAUCUUUUAUUAUGAGGAUUGUUACCCAAACUGAGAUCCUUUUGACAGGAGGAGGAGGCAUGAUUAGGAAUUUUGUUGGGCAUUCACAAGGACUGUCCAAGACAAACAGGGAUAUAUGGCAGUCCUAUUUAAUAUCUUUCCAAUCUACAUCAUGACAUGAUACAUACGUAAGCAAAAAUUACAAACACCAGUUUGUAAUUGUACUUGGGUGUACAAGCUAGAUUGUGUACCACAAACACCUGCAGGGUAGCCAUUGUGAUAUAUAGUGAUGUGUUAAUAGACCUCUAGGACACUAGAAGAAAAUCUAUUUUCCUGGCUUGAAAGGGACCAAUCAAUUGUAUGGGUCCAAAGUGGAGAGAGAAAAAGAGAGAAUAUCAAAACAGCACAAUUCAAUAUUGUUAUACACAGAAUACAAAUCAAAUCAAAAGUUUAAACACACAUAUCAACUGAGGAGUUAGGCAAGAAGUGUAGUUAUGCAGCCAACAUGUAACAAACCCGUCCAGUGGCCUCCUCUGAAACCUACACCAGAAAGACUUAUUCUUUCUGGAGAGUAGUCUUGGUCAGAUAAUUUUUCUUUGUGGGCCUUAUGUGGACCAACAUUUCAGAGAAACCAUGCAGUGGCAGGGCACUAUGGUUGAAGGUGAAAUUGUAUUUUCCUUCUUAUUAUUCUUGUUUCAGAAACACAGAAAAGGACUCUAAAGAGUACUGCUCCUUUCCAGAAGAAGAAGAAAAUUUCACUAUUUCAGGAUCAGGACUGGUAACAUUUGGAAAGCUAAUAUAGGGAAGGGAGAGAGAAAAUGAACUUUAAUAUUCCCAUCCUACAUGUCAGCACUAUGCCAUGACUUACAUGCAUGACCUCUAAGCCUCACAAGAAGUUGACCUAGCCAGCAUUAUUGUCUUGUUUUAAGAUAAAGAAACUAGGGAUGGAAGAGGCCAAGUAAUUGCACAUUAUUAAGUAGAUGCUAUUUGAGUCCAAAGCCACAUUCUUUCCAGGCUCUCCUUUUUGGGAUACCUUAACAUGUUUAAUCCAGUUCAGGGACUCCAAAUUUGAUUUUAUAUUCACAGUUUUAACCGUUGGGUGUUCACAUGUAGCCUGGUAGCACUGUUAUAUCAUCAACAACACAUAGAAGUGCUCCUGAUCGCUGCAUAAAUAUGCAGCACAAUGCCCAAUACAUACAGAUGUUCAAAUAUGCUAUUUUUCUCAAACCAGCAUUCCUCAACCUUUCUGUCACCAGGGACCAGUUUCAUGAAAGACAAUGGAAUGGUAUGGGGUUCAGGGGCAGAGAUGGUUUCGGGCUGAAAGUGUUCAACCUCGCAGAUCAUCAGGCAUUAGAUUCUCAUAAGAAUCAUGCAGCCUAGAUCCCACACAUAUGUAGUUCAUGAUAGGGUUCAUGUUCCUAUGCUGCCACUGAUCUGAUAGGAACCAAGUUCAAAUGAUAAUGCUCAUGCACCUGCCACUCACCUCCUGCUCUUAGGUGAUCCUAACAGGCCACCAAUCAGUA